GGUGAAUAAUAUAUGGUGAACAAUAUAUGGUGAACAAUAUAUGGUGAACUGCUACAUCUCACAUAUAGUGAACUGGUAUAUGAUGAAUAGUGCAUCUGGUAUGUGAUAAGCAGGUACAUUUGGUAUACAGUAAACAUACAUCUGAUAUAAGGUGAACAGGUACAUCUGGUAUAUGGUAAACAGAUGCAACUGGUAUAUAGUCAACAGAAACAUUUUGUAUGUAGUGAGCUGGUACAUCUGACGUGUGAUAAAAUGGUACAUUUGGUAUAUGGUAAACACAUCUAGUGUAUGGUGAACUGGUACAUGGCAAACAUACAUCUGAUAUAUGGUGAACAAGUACAUCUUGUAUAUGGUGAACUGGUGCAUCUGGUAUUUGGUGAACAGAAACAUCUGGUUUAUAGUGAAGUGUUACAUAACUAGUUUAAUAUUUGAUACUAUAGAGUGAAAUGAUGUGUACAAAUAUGUUGUUCACUAUUCCUGAACGAUUAAAGUACAGUUUAUUUGUGGCUAAUGCAGAUGUCUGUAGUUAAAAGUUGAGUCUCGUAAUCUGUGUCACGUAGUUACCAUAAUUAUAGAACAGGAACCUGUUUCCCACAUUUGAAAUUCUUAAAAUGUACAAAACCAGUCCAAUCCUGUUUUCCGUUCAUCUCGCUCUUCCACAUCUGACAUUUUCUAUGAAAGGACGAACUGACUAAAUUCCAUAUUAACACAUCAACAA
Long non-coding RNA from Octopus sinensis (East Asian common octopus), 718 nucleotides. RefSeq lists it as uncharacterized. The transcript is spliced from 3 exons. The record is from RefSeq and is a predicted model, not a curated record. Lineage: Eukaryota; Metazoa; Mollusca; Cephalopoda; Octopoda; Octopodidae.